Molecule: ribosomal RNA, 305 nt
Filed under: uncultured bacterium
Lineage: Bacteria
Description: bacterial SSU rRNA
Rfam family: Bacterial small subunit ribosomal RNA
Source: RNAcentral
UGUUCCUACGGGGGGCAGCAGUGAGGAAUAUUGGUCAAUGGGCGGGAGCCUGAACCAGCCAAGUCGCGUGAGGGAAGACGGUCCUAUGGAUUGUAAACCUCUUUAGGCGGGGAGCAAUGCCGGGCACGUGUGCCCGGAGGGAGGGUACCCGCAGAAUAAGCAUCGGCUAACUCCGUGCCAGCAGCCGCGGUAAUACGGAGGAUGCGAGCGUUAUCCGGAUUUAUUGGGUUUAAAGGGUGCGUAGGCGGAUUUUUAAGUCAGCGGUAAAUUGUCGGGGCUCACCCGGGCCGGGCCGUGGAAAUGGG